Molecule: long non-coding RNA, 151 nt
Organism: Sander lucioperca (pikeperch)
Lineage: Eukaryota; Metazoa; Chordata; Actinopteri; Perciformes; Percidae
Exons: 3
Source: RefSeq, a predicted model, not a curated record
AUAUAUAUUAUAGUACCUUGGGUAUCUUGGCGCCCAGGUCCUGGUACUGUUUGUGUAUUAUAUGUGUAUUAUAUAUGUGUGUAUAUAUAUUAUAGUACCUUGGGUAUCUUGGCGCCCAGGUCCUGGUACUGUUUGUGUAUUAUAUGUGUAU